GAUCAUGGCUCAGGACGAACGCUGGCGGCGUGCCUAACACAUGCAAGUUGAACGGUAACUUUUUUGAAAGAUUUCUUCGGAAUGUAAUUUGAUUAAGUUUAGUGGCGGACGGGUGAGUAACGCGUGAGUAACCUGCCUCUAAGGAGGGGAAUAACAUUCUGAAAAGAAUGCUAAUACCGCAUAAUAUAUAUUUAUCGCAUGGUAGAUAUAUCAAAGAUUUAUCGCUUAGAGAUGGACUCGCGUCCG
Molecule: ribosomal RNA, 246 nt
Filed under: uncultured bacterium
Lineage: Bacteria
Description: partial 16S ribosomal RNA
Rfam family: Bacterial small subunit ribosomal RNA
Source: RNAcentral